RNAcentral lists this ribosomal RNA (218 nucleotides) under uncultured bacterium. RNAcentral describes it as "partial 16S ribosomal RNA". It matches the Rfam family "Bacterial small subunit ribosomal RNA", at positions 1275 to 1500 of the family's 1533-position model. The record is from RNAcentral.
CGAAAACCUAGUCCCAGUUCGGACUGGAGUCUGCAACCCGACUCCACGAAGUUGGAUUCGCUAGUAAUCGCGCAUCAGCCAUGGCGCGGUGAAUACGUUCCCGGGCCUUGUACACACCGCCCGUCAAGCCAUGGGAGCCGGGGGCGCCUGAAGUCCGGGACCGCGAGGACCGGCCUAAGGCGAAACUGGUGACUGGGGCUAAGUCGUAACAAGGUACC